Nomascus leucogenys (northern white-cheeked gibbon) is the source of this 85-nucleotide microRNA precursor. The record is from Ensembl. NCBI's taxonomy places the organism in Eukaryota, Metazoa, Chordata, Mammalia, Primates, Hylobatidae.
UAUUAAGUUGGUGCAAAAGUGAUUGUGGUUUUUGCCAUUGAAAAUCAUGUCAAAAACCACAAUUACUUUUGCACAAACCUAAUAA